CUUUUAGUCUGGCAAAUUUCUUAACCUCAGUGAGUGUUUUCUCUGGCUUUGUACAGGAGGGAGCGAGAAAAAAAAAACAGCCAACAGACCUCAGUAUAAAUUCUUCAGGAAAAAAACCCCUAAAAUGUUGACCUACCAGCUUUCAUCCUCUUGUGUAAUUUGACCCAGCUCAACAGUUUGGUAAGUGCAACCUGCCGGCAUUUCCUCUCAAAAUGCUUUUUUGUCAAGUCCAUCUGCAGAGUCAACUCCAGGGUAUCUCUCUUGCUCUGUGCAAUGAACCUCUUCCACUUCCUGUCACCCAACAAGAAACAGCUCAUCAUUAAUUCAGCAAACAGGGAGGCAGGCUGUCAGGAGCCAGGCUUAACUGACAAAGGAUGGGAAUCAAGUAACAAAAAAAUAAUAAUUUAUCUAAUUUAUAAAACAGUUUAUUAUGAUUAUAAAGCUAAAGCUGGACUGACAAAGACUGACCGAGUGAAACAGAGCACCCUGAUAACUUUACCUACUUAUUACUUAUUAACAGUGAGAGAAAGUCUUUAGAUUCUCUGAAGCUGAGUUACUGUUUCACAGUAAAAAUGCAACCAGAUCAAAUUCACCGUGCACCACCAGUUUGAGGACCUGCAAGAACUAACUCAGCAGCAGCUGCUUUCAAUAACUUCGAUUGCAAUCAGUGGAAGCAGAAUGUGAGAAAGUUUUGUGUCCCCUCUGACAUCUUUCCUGCCACUGUGGCUUCACUCAGAGCAUGAGUGAUUAUUUUGCUGGUUUGUAGCUUUAAUCAUUAUUCUGCUGCAGGUAGAGUCUGUGGUUGAGCUCAACCUCAUGGCUCGUUCAUUCAGGCUCUCCUGGCUUUGCACUCUGUUGUGGAGCUGCUUGUGCUUUCCUCCUGAAGAAGGUUACAGUAGUGCACAUGGCUACUAUCUCUAUGAGAGCCCGCAAACCUCUAGCAGAUUUCAUUCUGGACAGUCUUUGAAUACAAACAAUGAGAAUGUUGGACGGCAAAGCUUUGUUUCCCGUCAGCCAGAAGCAUUUACUUAUGAUAAAGGACAGGAUGCUACCCCUGAGAUGAAGCAAAGCCAGCCUGAUAAGUUUCACGGGGCCUCUUCUGCUCCUCUUAUAGAGCAAAAUGAGCAGUCUGGUUAUCACCAUCCCUUUGACCUUUUAGUGAGGGGAAACACGCAGGAGCCUGUGAAGGGUGUCGCUUUCCCCACAAUGAGUCAUUUAAAGGAGUUUAUAGAAAACAUGAAGCAUUCCUUCUUAGUACCAGGAAGUGACUUGAGUAGACAUUUUGAAACUGCACGGGAAAAAAUGAAAACUCUCGGAACAUCCAUGGACUAUAGACCAUCUCCUGAAAAAGGAGGCACUGCCUCUGGUGACAGCAAGAAAAAUAACGAUCGGAUUGAAGAAGAUGCCAACUACCAAAUGCCAAAUAAACUCCUCUCUUUCCCUGAUCCUGUCGACUCCUCUGCAAGUCUCAUUUCUUCCAGUGUUUAUGACAACCAAAAAUUUAGGCCGGGCACCACUUUCUACCCACACGAUCAUUUAGCAGCCACAGGUCUUGCUUCAAGAAAUUUGGCACACGGUUUUCCCUGGGGAAACAAUGACUUAUCUGUGAGUGUGGAUUCAGAACAAUACAAACCACCAAAAAAAACAAAAUUUCCCUCCAGCUCCUUUCACAGGCAGGGUUCUUCCUAUAGUGAACAUGUGACUGCACCCCCUGUGAACUCUGCAAACAGCCCAUCUCAAGAUUUCAGCCAGUAUUCAAGUGAGACCUCAAAUUUAACACCUUAUUGGAAGGAUAUGCUAAAUCCAGUACAUGUCUCUCAAAGUAGAGAUCCUUUAAUGAGGUACUGGAGACCACCCAGUGGCUUUGAACUCACUAAAGACUUCCACAGAGCAAGUCAAACUGAUGUCCCAUCUGCAAAAAUCCUACCAUCUGUAUAUUCCUAUGGUAAAAAGCAUCACCCCUCCAUGCAGCAUUAUUGGCCCAAAUACAAGACAAGAAUAGGUGCUUCAGUCCAGGCACGUCAACCUACUGAGAGCAAAGAGUUGAGGACUGUAAAAUAUGCUCCCAACGUCCACUGGCCUCCAUCAAGUGGUUCUGUCUCUUUAAGCUUUAAUGACCCCUUACCCCAGUGGAGAAGAGGUCACAUGGGUUAUCAAAGCAGCCCACAAUACCCGCAAAUUCCUCAUUAUAAGCAAAAACAGAUGGACAGAGCUCACUGGAUGUUUACCGCCAAACCCUUGAAUUUUGUUCCCGGAUACCAGAAAGUCAGUGCUGUUCCCUUCGUCCUAAAUGCCCAUGCAAAACAUGAGAAUUCAAACCUCUACAAUCAAAAACUCCUAUCUACCUUUCAGAAACCGCAUUACAAUAGAUUGAGAAAUCCACCCCAGAGUGGGCUCGCAUCUUAUGGAGUAAGAAACACACUGGGCUCAUUUUCUAAACCACAGAGGCAAACUGUGAGGUCUGAACGUUUACAGCCUUUCAUGCAACCAAACAGGCACAUGCCUCGAGCCAGUGUGAGUAGACGGCCCAGACACUUGGCCAACUGGCCUUCUGAACAGCAGCCUAAACCUACAGGUUUGAUGCCUAAGUGUGUUAUUAAGAGGAACACAAAAAGCCUUCCUCCUCAAGAGUCCCGUAACACAUCUCCAUCAUCUCUAAAUCCAUACGUUAAAUCUAAAAACCGCUUCACACGGGCCGUAGCAUAUCUGUCAAAGGUCUGUUUCACACCCCGUAUGGUGCAAGGGAAGAAUAAUAACAAUCAGUGGAGACUGGUAAGAAGAUGGCGUGAAUGAAAGGACAUGACAAGUCAGUGUGCAGGACCGGGAAGAAUGAUGAACAUGUUUUUGAAGAUGAGUCUCCCUCUACGUUAAGAUGCAUUCAUAUUCCUCAGUCCAGUGAAUACAUGGAGGCUCUGCUCUUUGCCUGUUGCCAUGGUGAAUCUGGUGCUGGAGCUCCGCUGAUGAUGGCUAUUUUUUUACUGCUUAAGCACAGGCUUAACUUGAGCUGAACAUAUAUUCAGCUGAUUGAACUUUCUAGAACCACAAACCCAGAGUUUAGCAGCUCAGCAUUAAUCAACUUGGAGUUUGUUGAACCUGCUUCUAAAACAGAUCCUAUUAAGGCUGUAGUUGAAGUCUUGCUUUUGAAAGUCACUUUAAUGGUAACUUAAGCAUCAAGAAAACCUAAUUAAAGCCACUUGAAAAGAACAUUAGUGGGCAAUGUAAACAAGCAACGCAUGAGUCAUUGUUUGCAUGUGCUUGAAACACAAUGAAGUGUGGGUGAAAGGGGGCGGAGGAAUAUGAACAUGAUCUUCUCUGGACCUCUUCUGGUGGCCUAACAUGUCUUCAGGGGUUAGGAGUAAAGGCUAAAAUUAAGAGAAAGUGAGCCACCGUGUGUUCGUUUCAAGAAAAACCGGGGGUCUACGUGCCAGUGCACAGACUGGAAAUGAUUAACUGUACUGCUUCAACAUGGCAUAAAUGAAGCUGUCAUUAAAGCCCGUAAAAGUAAAAUAAAUUGGGAUAUCAUCUUUUACAUUCAGCAGGGGGUUGGUGGGGGAUGAUCUGAACUUGUUCUCCAAUGUUUAUCAUUGGCAGUGAGUCAUAUAUGAAAGGAUGGCUUCCUUUUGAAAGUAAAAAUGAUCAAAAUGAAUCAGUUUUCUUCACCAGCAUAUGUUUGCCAUCUGACACAAAGGAAAAAUCUUAAAGCUUCAGUCUCUGAAAUUCUAAAGUCAUAAAUAUGAAAGAGAAUUGUUUUAC
Oreochromis aureus is the source of this 3753-nucleotide long non-coding RNA. NCBI's taxonomy places the organism in Eukaryota, Metazoa, Chordata, Actinopteri, Cichliformes, Cichlidae. The record is from Ensembl.